CAGGCCUACACAUGCAAGUCGAACGAGUCCACUCCUUCGGGAGUGAGGCGAGUGGCGACGGGUGAGCUACACGUGAGCAACCUAUCUUCGUACGGGGGACAACCCGGGGAAACCCGGGCUAAUACCGCAUGGUCGGGGCACUCGCAUGGGAGCCCGGGAAAGAUGGCCUCUGAUUCAAGCUGUCGUGCGGAGAGGGGCUCGCGGCUAUCAGCUUGUUGGUGGGGUAACGGCCCACCAAGGCGACGACGGCUAGGGGUCUGAGAGGACGACAAUCGAAUUCCCGCGGCC
This 288-nucleotide ribosomal RNA is filed under the name uncultured bacterium. RNAcentral's name for it is "partial 16S ribosomal RNA". It matches the Rfam family "Bacterial small subunit ribosomal RNA", at positions 50 to 323 of the family's 1533-position model. The record is from RNAcentral.